GAAACAACCAUCGUUGUUAGCAAGGACCUCCACGGCGGGUAACUUUGCAAAUGUGUUAUUGAUUUAAGUUGGCAAUAGGAUCCUUGGCUCGAGCCAUCCUUAUCCGUUUUCAUCUACUACCUUAGGUCUAUUGUUCUGGGCUCAAGCCUUCUGUUUUUCUGUCCUUAAUGGUGUUGGGCUUGGGCCUUUUUAAAGCUUGUAUCUUUU
This 207-nucleotide unclassified non-coding RNA is filed under the name Hevea brasiliensis (rubber tree). The record is from RNAcentral. Lineage: Eukaryota; Viridiplantae; Streptophyta; Magnoliopsida; Malpighiales; Euphorbiaceae.